UACGUAGGCAGCAAGCGUUGUUCGGGGUUACUGGGCGUAAAGGGUGUGUAGGCGGUUUUUUAAGUUUGGUGUGAAAUCUCCCGGCUCAACUGGGAGGGUGCGCCGAAUACUGAAAGACUAGAGUGCGGGAGAGGAAAGUGGAAUUCCUGGUGUAGCGGUGAAAUGCGUAGAUAUCUGGAGGAACACCGGUGGCGAAGGCGGCAUCCUGGACCGGCAUUGACGCUGAGGCGCGAAAGCCAGGGGAGCAAACGGG
Molecule: ribosomal RNA, 253 nt
Filed under: uncultured bacterium
Lineage: Bacteria
Description: partial 16S ribosomal RNA
Rfam family: Bacterial small subunit ribosomal RNA
Source: RNAcentral